RNAcentral lists this ribosomal RNA (496 nucleotides) under uncultured bacterium. Its description in RNAcentral is "partial 16S ribosomal RNA". It matches the Rfam family "Bacterial small subunit ribosomal RNA", at positions 28 to 507 of the family's 1533-position model. The record is from RNAcentral.
GAUGAACGCUGGCGGCGUGCCUAAUACAUGCAAGUCGAGCGAACGGACGAGAAGCUUGCUUCUCUGAUGUUAGCGGCGGACGGGUGAGUAACACGUGGAUAACCUACCUAUAAGACUGGGAUAACUUCGGGAAACCGGAGCUAAUACCGGAUAAUAUUUUGAACCGCAUGGUUCAAAAGUGAAAGACGGUCUUGCUGUCACUUAUAGAUGGAUCCGCGCUGCAUUAGCUAGUUGGUAAGGUACGGCUUACCAAGGCAACGAUGCAUAGCCGACCUGAGAGGGUGAUCGGCCACACUGGAACUGAGACACGGUCCAGACUCCUACGGGAGGCAGCAGUAGGGAAUCUUCCGCAAUGGGCGAAAGCCUGACGGAGCAACGCCGCGUGAGUGAUGAAGGUCUUCGGAUCGUAAAACUCUGUUAUUAGGGAAGAACAUAUGUGUAAGUAACUGUGCACGUCUUGACGGUACCUAAUCAGAAAGCCACGGCUAACUACGUG